RNAcentral lists this ribosomal RNA (683 nucleotides) under uncultured Lachnospiraceae bacterium. RNAcentral's name for it is "bacterial SSU rRNA". It matches the Rfam family "Bacterial small subunit ribosomal RNA", at positions 42 to 725 of the family's 1533-position model. The record is from RNAcentral. Lineage: Bacteria; Bacillati; Bacillota; Clostridia; Lachnospirales; Lachnospiraceae.
GCGUGCUUAACACAUGCAAGUCGAACGAAGCACUUUUGCUGAGACCUUCGGGUGGAUUUAAAAGUGACUGAGUGGCGGACGGGUGAGUAACGCGUGGGUAACCUGCCUCACACAGGGGGAUAACAGUUAGAAAUGACUGCUAAUACCGCAUAAGCGCACGGUCUCGCAUGGGACAGUGUGAAAAACUCCGGUGGUGUGAGAUGGACCCGCGUCUGAUUAGCUAGUUGGUGGGGUAACGGCCUACCAAGGCGACGAUCAGUAGCCGACCUGAGAGGGUGACCGGCCACAUUGGGACUGAGACACGGCCCAAACUCCUACGGGAGGCAGCAGUGGGGAAUAUUGCACAAUGGGGGAAACCCUGAUGCAGCGACGCCGCGUGAUUGAAGAAGUAUUUCGGUAUGUAAAGAUCUAUCAGCAAGGAAGAAAAUGACGGUACUUGACUAAGAAGCCCCGGCUAACUACGUGCCAGCAGCCGCGGUAAUACGUAGGGGGCAAGCGUUAUCCGGAUUUACUGGGUGUAAAGGGAGCGUAGGCGGUCUGGCAAGCCAGAAGUGAAAGCCCGGGGCUUAACCCCGGGACUGCUUUUGGAACUGUUAGACUAGAGUGUCGGAGAGGUAAGUGGAAUUCCUAGUGUAGCGGUGAAAUGCGUAGAUAUUAGGAGGAACACCAGUGGCGAAGGCGGC